Molecule: ribosomal RNA, 279 nt
Filed under: uncultured bacterium
Lineage: Bacteria
Description: partial 16S ribosomal RNA
Rfam family: Bacterial small subunit ribosomal RNA
Source: RNAcentral
UGCCAGCAGCCGCGGUAACACGGGGGGCGCAAGCGUUAUUCGGAAUUAUUGGGCGUAAAGGGCGCGCAGGCGGUCUUGUCCGCCAGGUGUGAAAGCUCGGGGCUCAACCCCGGAAGUGCACUUGAAACAGCAAGACUUGAAUACGGGAGAGGAGAGAGGAAUUCCUGGUGUAGAGGUGAAAUUCGUAGAUAUCAGGAGGAACACCAGUGGCGAAAGCGGCUUCCUGGCAUGACACUGACGCUCAUGGACGAAAGCGUGGGGAGCAAACAGGAUUAGAUA